RNA transcript from Astyanax mexicanus (Mexican tetra), 5076 nucleotides. It is a transcript of the gene named RAB39B, member RAS oncogene family b, with no coding region annotated. The transcript has 6 exons. The record is from RefSeq and is a predicted model, not a curated record. Lineage: Eukaryota; Metazoa; Chordata; Actinopteri; Characiformes; Acestrorhamphidae.
CUGAUGCGGGAUGAGUCAGGCUGUGGGAUGUUGCUGCCAUUUCAUCAGCACAAUUCCCAAACAAUCCGUGCAGCUCGUGAGCGCUGAUCACCAGGCGUUGUCUGAGUGUGUGAACUGAUGAGAAGUGUGGUGGGAGUCUCUGAGGGAACAGCAGGGGGUCGCAGAGACACGCUGCCUGAGCUGCUGCUGCUGCUGCUGUUUACUGAGGGUUGGUGGUGCUGGUGGUGCUGAUGGUGAUGGUUGUGCUGUAAAUAGGAAGCGGAGUGGGCAGGCUGGAGCAGGUGUGUGUCUGGCCGCGGGUUUCCUGUAAAGUCCUCCUCCCUUUAGGAGCAUGGAGUCCUGUUUCUGCAUCUGCUGAGACCUGAGCAGCCCAGCAUCACACAAGCCGCACAGCUAUGGAGGCGAUAUGGCUUUACCAGUUUCGUCUGAUUGUAAUCGGAGACUCCACUGUUGGUAAAUCGUGUUUGAUCAGGCGCUUUACUGAGGGACGAUUUGCCCAGGUCUCAGACCCCACAGUUGGUGUGGACUUCUUCUCUCGCCUGGUCGAGAUCGAGCCAGGAAAACGCAUCAAACUCCAGAUUUGGGACACUGCGGGUCAGGAGCGCUUCAGGUCCAUCACGAGAGCGUACUACCGCAACUCCGUGGGUGGCCUUCUGCUCUUCGACAUCACAAACCGCCGCUCUUUCCAGAACGUGCACGAGUGGCUGGAGGAGGCGCGCAGUCAUGUGCAGCCGCACAGCAUCGUCUUCCUCCUGGUGGGCCACAAGUGUGACCUGGAGGCGCAGCGGCAGGUGACGAGACAGGAGGCGGAGAAGCUGGCGGCGGCGUAUGGCAUGCGCUACGUGGAGACUUCGGCACGGGAUGCCAUCAACGUGGAGAGGGCCUUCACGGAGCUGACGCGGGAUAUCUUUGAGCUGGUGAAGCACGGCGAGAUCACCAUCCAGGAGGACUGGGAGGGGGUCAGGAGCGGAUUUGUGCCCAAUGUGGUUCACUCGUCUGAGGAGGUGACCAAGAGCGAGCGCCGGUGCUUCUGCUGAUCCAUCUAAAAAAACGCUCUCAUGAACCUGAACCUGAGGUCUUCAGGAUCGUUACAAUCACAGGGCACUCUGUAGCCCCUCAGAUAUGACAUAGCCCCUUUGCCUGCCUGCUGAAUGCUUCCUAAACCUGCCCAGCCCUUCUGGUCCUCCACUGUUCCACAGAGUUACUGCCCAUUAAAAACUGAAUUAAAGGAAAACGGCCACAGCACACUGACCCAACAACCAUCGACUUUCUAAUGCUGAUAAACCUGAUAAACCAAAUUUGAACCCAUAUGAAUUUUGUAUGUGUGUGCGUGUAUGUAGAACAGUGUAAUUAAGCAGGGAGAACAAUCAAGGAUGAUGUGAAUGAAGGUGAGCGUUCCUGAACUGUGUGAAUAGGCUGAAUGUAUGUUCUGCAACAGUGUGCAUGAGAAAGAACAUUCUAGAACAGUGUGAAUGACAAGGGAGUGAGUAUCUACAACAGGGUUGACUGGAAAGAACAUUUUAAACAGUGUAAAUGAAGGUGAAUCUUCUAGAACAUCUUCUAGAUUGAGAAUAUUCUCAAGCAAUGUGUGAAUGAGAAACAUCCUUAAACAGCAUUAAAGGUAGAAAACAUUCUAGAGCAUUCUGAAGCUAUUUAAACAAAUCAGAACAUUCUAAAAUAACAUGGAUAAUGGGUAAUAUUCUAAAAUAAUGUUAAUUAAAAACAUUCUUAAACAGUCCAAAAGGCAAAGAAAGGUCUAGAACUGUGGGAAAAUUUGCAAAGCAAAGUGUAAAUUGGGAGAAUGUUUUAGAAAUGUGUAAGAGAAGGAAUACAUACUCCAACUGAAUGAAUGGAUUCUAGAGCCAUGCCAAUGAUUAGGGGUUUCUAGUACAGUAAAUGCAGAGAGAAAAUGUUGUAGAUGGAUGAAAGGGAACACAUUCUAAUCAAAGUUCAAAAUUAAGGAGAAUAUGGUUAAACUGUGUAAACAGGGCAGGAUAUGUUAGAACAGAGUGAAUGAGUGAACAUCAGUGUGAACAGAGAGGUGGUCUAGAAUAGUGCAGAUAGAGGGGAAGUAGUACACUGUGAUCUGUGGGAUGGAAUAGAACAAUGUUCUAGAAUACUGUGAAUAAGACAGUAGACUAGUCUUUUAUAAUUAGAAUGAGGUGAAUAGUGAGAAUGAGUUGGCAGCAUGUUCUAGAAUAGUGAGAAUGAGUUAACAGAAUGUUCUAGAAUAGUGAGAAUGAGGUGACAGAAUGUUCUAGAAUAGUGAGAAUGAGUUGACAGAAUGUUCUAGAAUAGUGAGAAUGAGAUGACAGAAUGUUCUAGAAUAGUGAGAAUGAGUUAACAGAAUGUUCUAGAUUAGUGAGAAUGAGGCGACAAUGUUCUAGAAUAAUGAGAAUGAGUUGACAGAAUGUUCUAGAAUAAUGAGAAUGAGUUAACAGAAUGUACUAGAAUAGUGAGAAUGAGUUAACAGAAUGUUCUAGAAUAGUGAGAAUGAGUUGACAGAAUGUUCUAGAAUAGUGAGAAUGAGAUGACAGAAUGCUUUAGAAUAGUGAGAAUGAGUUAACAGAAUGUUCUAGAAUAGUGAGAAUGAGUUAACAGAAUGUUCUAGAAUAGUGAGAAUGAGUUGGCAGCAUGUUCUAGAAUAGUGAGAAUGAGUUAACAGAAUGUUCUAGAAUAGUGAGAAUGAGGUGAUAAUGUUCUAGAAUAGUGAGAAUGAGUUGGCAGGAUGUUCUAGAAUAAUGAGAAUGAGUUGACAGAAUGUUCUAGAGUAGUGAGAAUGAGAUGACAGAAUGUUCUAAAACAGUGUGAAUGGUGGAAUUAGUAAUUUCUAGAAUGGUGUGAAUGAGGUGGAUGUUCUAGAACAGUUUGAAUAAACUGGGAGAUGUUCUAGAAGAAUGUAAAUUAAGGGUAUGUUCUAGAAUGAGCUGAAUGAGCUAGUAGAAUGUUCUUGAAUAGCGUGAAUGGAAGAAAACAUUCCAGAACCAUGUGACUGGAACAUGGUAGCCAAGCGUCUGGGCUUGUUGGGUCGAUGUGCUCUGGCUCUUGUCUACCGACCAAUGAAAAAGAAGGGUUAUUUCCCCCUGAAUGGCCAAUCGGGGCCUUAUGUUCAGCACCUUAUCCCUAAGGACCCCAAAGUAUACACCUGUCAAUCACUUAAAAGCCAUGAGAUGUUUCCCAUGAGACUGGAUCUGCUGAAAGCACUCUCGACGAGACCUGAUGCAGUUGUUUUUUUGAUGACUUUUAAGUGAUGACUGUGAAAAGAACUGCUGUUUGGUGCACAGAAUGCUAAAAGACUUCUAUCUCUGGGUUGGGUUGUGUAUGCAUACAUGUCAAGGCUUUGACUAUGGAUACAAUGUGAGUUGGAAGGGUGUAUUGCAGUAUAGUGCAUUAUACCUAAUUCCACAACGAUGGAGAUCUUGCUUGUUUUUAGACCAUAUCAAAUGAUUUGAGGAUAUGCUGAGUCACUGAAUGUGAGCAUAAACUGUAAUCUGAAGUAUGGACACUGAUUAAGAUACGAAACCGAAUUGUGCUUCUUACCAAAGGGAUUUAUUUAAGAAAUGAGACUUUGAAGGACAAUGGAUAUGAGGUGCGAUGUUCUAUGACACUAAAACACAACAGAUCUUUAGUGCUGUCUGUGUCUUCAUACAAAAGCUAAGCAUUAUUACACCAUAACUUGUGGACUUCCUGAAGUGUUUUCAGAUAUUACAGCUAGGGAUUGUACCAACACACCGUUAAACCCCCAGUUAUAAGACCCACUUCCAAUCCAUGCCCUGCAUUCAGUUGGUCACUUAAUUGAUAAUCUGUAUGACCUACUGUAAAGCAUAUUUACUUUCUGCUACCUGCUUCUCACUGUCUUUUUCCUACUUAAUCCACAAUUAAGUCAUCACACACUGCCCCACCCAGCAGACCAAACCAGACCGGACUGGACUGGAAUACAUGUUGCUGAAUGAAGUGAAUGUCUGUUUUUCUUGGGGCUGCACAGUAAACUUGCAUGUUAAUUCUUGCCCAAAAUAUUGGCCUCUGCAGUAGAAGAGUAAGUGAUACACUACAUUGCCAAAAGUAUUCACUUGUAUGCCUUAGUAUACAUUUUUCAUUGCUGUCCAAUGAAAAACACCUAUCUACCUAAAAAACCUUGUAAACUUUUAACGAAAGUCAAUGCAAAAAGAGCUUAUUUCAGGUAAUUAUGAAGAGUUUCUAUUGGUCCGUUCAUCAAGAAAUUUUGUUUUUCAUUGGACAGCAUUGAUAAGUCCUAUAAAACAACCCCACACUAUAACCCCCCCUUCAAACUUUACAACUGGCACAAUGCAAACAAGUAUCGCUCUACUGGCAACCGCAAAACCCAGACUCGACUGCCGGGUUGCCAAACAGAGAAGUGUAAUUGCAUUCAACACUUUGCAUUAUGCUUGGUAAUGUAAGGCUUGGAUGCAGCUGCUCAGUCAGGAUAACCGAUGCUAUGAAGCUCCCUACACUCUACUGUUCUUGAGAUAAUCUGAAGUCCACAUGAAGAUUUGAGGUUUAGAACAAUUGACUGCUGAAAUUUGGCAACCUCUACUCACUAAAUGCCUCCACUGACUCUGCUUUGUCACUUUAGAUGGAUUAUAACUUCAUGGCUAUGUUGCUGUCCAAAUUUCCAAUUUGUUAUAUUAUCACUGACAGUUAACUGUGGAGUAUUUGGUAGUAAGGAAAUUUCCUAUCACAGUACCACGCUGAAGUUCACUGAGCUCCUGAGAGCGACCCAUUCUUUCACUAAUGUUUGUAGAAGCAGUUUGCAUGCCUAGUUAGUAAUUUGGAUGGGUGAGUGAAUACAUCUGGAUAUUGUGCAGCCAGUCAUAUCACUUAAUUCAAUCCUGUCAUUAAUUAAAGCCUGGCUCUUAGUGGUGGGGCACAUUUUGGUUUGGGCUUUUUUCUUUGGUUUACAUUUUCAUUCUCUUGAGCCCACAGUCACAGAUGGUGGACAUGAGCUCAUGAAGAGUGAACUACUGAUAACCGCACCUGUACAUGAACAGUUGUGACACUCUGUACCUCUAUCAAAAGAACUUGAACUGUAGUAAAGAUUAAAAUACCAUGACAUGA